UNGAGCACGUGGAGCACAUUGUGGCCUA
RNAcentral lists this non-coding RNA (28 nucleotides) under Mus musculus (house mouse). Lineage: Eukaryota; Metazoa; Chordata; Mammalia; Rodentia; Muridae. The record is from RNAcentral.